AUUGAACGCUGGCGGCAGGCCUAACACAUGCAAGUCGAGCGGAUGAAGGGAGCUUUCUCCUGGAUUCAGCGGCGGACGGGUGAGUAAUGCCUAGGAAUCUGCCUGGUAGUGGGGGAUAACAUCCGGAAAAGGGCGCUAAUACCGCAUACGUCCUGAGGGAGAAGGUGGGGGAGCUUCGGACCUCACGCUAUCAGAUGAGCCUAGGUCGGAUUAGCUAGUUGGUGGGGUAAAGGCCUACCAAGGCGACGAUCCGUAACUGGUCUGAGAGGAUGAUCAGUCACACUGGAACUGAGACACGGUCCAGACUCCUACGGGAGGCAGCAGUGGGGAAUAUUGGACAAUGGGCGAAAGCCUGAUCCAACCAUGCCGCGUGUGUGAAGAAGGUCUUCGGAUUGUAAAGCACUUUAAGUUGGGAGGAAGGGCAGUAAGUUAAUACCUUGCUGUUUUGACGUUACCAACAGAAUAAGCACCGGCUAACUUCGUG
Molecule: ribosomal RNA, 484 nt
Filed under: uncultured bacterium
Lineage: Bacteria
Description: partial 16S ribosomal RNA
Rfam family: Bacterial small subunit ribosomal RNA
Source: RNAcentral